AUUGAACGCUGGCGGCAUGCCUUACACAUGCAAGUCGAACGGUAGAGGGGGCAACCCCUUGAGAGUGGCGAACGGGUGAGUAAAGCAUCGGAACGUACCCAGUUGUGGGGGAUAACUGCUCGAAAGAGUGGCUAAUACCGCAUAAGACCUGAGGGUGAAAGGGGGGGAUCGCAAGACCUCUCGCGAUUGGAGCGGCCGAUGUCAGAUUAGGUAGUUGGUGGGGUAAAGGCCUACCAAGCCUGCGAUCUGUAGCUGGUCUGAGAGGAUGGCCAGCCACACUGGGACUGAGACAUGGCCCAGACUCCUACGGGAGGCAGCAGUGGGGAAUUUUGGACAAUGGGGGCAACCCUGAUCCAGCCAGGCCGCGUGCGGGAAGAAGGCCUUCGGGUUGUAAACCGCUUUUGUCAGGGAAGAAAUCUUCUGGGUUAAUACCCUGGGGGGAUGACGGUACCUGAAGAAGAAGCACCGGCUAACUACGUGCCAGCAGCCGCCGUAA
Molecule: ribosomal RNA, 496 nt
Filed under: uncultured bacterium
Lineage: Bacteria
Description: partial 16S ribosomal RNA
Rfam family: Bacterial small subunit ribosomal RNA
Source: RNAcentral